Molecule: long non-coding RNA, 1605 nt
Organism: Pogona vitticeps (central bearded dragon)
Lineage: Eukaryota; Metazoa; Chordata; Lepidosauria; Squamata; Agamidae
Source: Ensembl
UGUGUGAAUUUAAGCCAUAGGGCACAUUCAUAAAGAAGCUUAUCCAUGUUUCCCUAUCAUGCCUACAGUUGAGAGAACUAUAAUGCAUUGAUGUAGUCCUUACAUUUUCAACAACCUACAUUUCAACAAAAGAUGGUAGAUAGAGGAUUCAACUUUUAUUUGAAAAUUCAGGAAAGCUCAGAUCUCUGAACCCACCAAUACAUAUAACCAAAUAUUUUAAAAGCUGAGGUUUAGGUUUCCGAACUAAGACACUUUGUCCCUGUACUUAUACUUGCGCAUGUUUUCCAUUUUUAGCUUUUUCUUCUUUGGUUAGAAUUUCUCGGUCUGCAUUCCUCAGUCCCACUUUCUCCAGGAAUUGACCUGUGCAGGAUUCCCUGGAGUAACUAGUUUGACCUCAAAGGUCUUUUUGCAGGAUUUAAGACCUUAGCUUUUUCUUUUAAGCUGUGUUUUGUCAGCAUAUUCUGAAAUCUCUUGGUAGAUCUACCACAAGCCUGUAUUUUUUUCCUUUUCUUCCUGUUCUGUCAUCCUGUUGAAGUGGCAUACCUACAUCUCUGCUAUGACCAGAUGUCCCUAUAACAGUGUUAUAACUUCAGGUACCUUAUCAUGAUAUUAAACAGUUAUGCUCUGUGAGUGAAAUAUUGGAAAAUCCAGUGUGCUGAGAAAAUGAAACCAUUUAUUCACUCUAACGCAUUCCUUAACUGCCUUUUAAGAGCACAGUCGUCCCAAGAUAAUUUACAAUAUAAAAUAUAUUAAGUCCAAGGUAAUUCUAACAGAUUCAUAAAAUCACAAAUUAGUUUAAAACAGCCAUGUCCCAAACUUUGGCGGAUAUUGGUGGGAAAAACCUACAGGGUGACACUCAGCAAGCAUCCCUAGGAAGAAGAAGGAAAUGAUUUCCUACAAUGGAGAGGAGAUGGGAGAGAGAACUUUAGUACAGAACAUGCUGUUUGGCAGCAAAAAGAGCCAGCGACUGGUGGACGCCUUCAGGCUGAACCUCCUCAGGAAGAAACCACUAGGGAACCAUCUGUUACAAAGAUUUUGAAAGAGGAGGGAGAAGAAUCCCGUGGGGAUGUGCUUCUGUCAUCACCCAUUUACAGGAAUCUCUUCUUGCCAAUCCCCUGAGAUGCCAGUGACUCCUGUCCAGAAGCUCACUCAACACCUGGCAGCCUGGCUUACUAUGGUAAGCAAUUACAUGUUCACAGAAACAGCCUUCUAGAAAGAGUGCUCCCUCAAGUGGUGAAAAAGGUAGAACUGUGAAAGCAUGUUAAAAGGUGAAUCACAUGUGACAUCCAUAUUAAACAACAGUCUCUUUUAAUUCCAGAUUGAAAUACUGUACUGUAUCAAAAGAAAGUGGAUCGCAUUACUAGCGGGAAAAUAUUAUAAAAGGAGAAAAAACACAUUUCUCAAAACCUCUGCUUUGACCCAUAAAAAUGUUGCUCUUUUUUUCUAUUUUUUUUUACUUGAAAGAUGUUCUUCACCUAAGACUGAUCUUCUCACUGCAACAGAACUACAGAACUCCCUAGUCUGCCAUCACAGUCUACUUUGACUUAAGAACAGAUGCAUAACGGAAAAAAAUAAAACUACUGUACUAAAUAUAUGUUAAAAUCA